This 71-nucleotide transfer RNA is filed under the name Sclomina erinacea. RNAcentral describes it as "tRNA-Tyr". It matches the Rfam family "tRNA". Rfam says of the family: Transfer RNA (tRNA) molecules are approximately 80 nucleotides in length. The record is from RNAcentral. Lineage: Eukaryota; Metazoa; Arthropoda; Insecta; Hemiptera; Reduviidae.
GGUAGAGUGGCUGAAUGAUUAGGCGAUAGAUUGUAAAUCUAUUUAUGGUUUGGUUUAUAAACCCUUUGCCA